GACGAACGCUGGCGGCGUGCCUAAUACAUGCAAGUCGAGCGAGCUUGCCUAGAUGAAUUUGGUGCUUGCACCAAAUGAAACUAGAUACAAGCGAGCGGCGGACGGGUGAGUAACACGUGGGUAACCUGCCCAAGAGACUGGGAUAACACCUGGAAACAGAUGCUAAUACCGGAUAACAACACUAGACGCAUGUCUAGAGUCUAAAAGAUGGUUCUGCUAUCACUCUUGGAUGGACCUGCGGUGCAUUAGCUAGUUGGUAAGGUAACGGCUUACCAAGGCAAUGAUGCAUAGCCGAGUUGAGAGACUGAUCGGCCACAUUGGGACUGAGACACGGCCCAAACUCCUACGGGAGGCAGCAGUAGGGAAUCUUCCACAAUGGACGCAAGUCUGAUGGAGCAACGCCACGUGAGUGAAGAAGGGUUUCGGCUCGUAAAGCUCUGUUGGUAGUGAAGAAAGAUAGAGGUAGUAACUGGCCUUUAUUUGACGGUAAUUACUUAGAAAGUCACGGCUAACUACGUGCCAGCAGCCGCGGUAAUACGUAGGUGGCAAGCGUUGUCCGGAUUUAUUGGGCGUAAAGCGAGUGCAGGCGGUUCAAUAAGUCUGAUGUGAAAGCCUUCGGCUCAACCGGAGAAUUGCAUCAGAAACUGUUGAACUUGAGUGCAGAAGAGGAGAGUGGAACUCCACGUGUAGCGGUGGAAUGCGUAGAUAUAUGGAAGAACACCAGUGGCGAAGGCGGCUCUCUGGUCUGCAACUGACGCUGAGGCUCGAAAGCAUGGGUAGCGAACAGG
RNAcentral lists this ribosomal RNA (788 nucleotides) under uncultured Lactobacillus sp. RNAcentral describes it as "bacterial SSU rRNA". It matches the Rfam family "Bacterial small subunit ribosomal RNA", at positions 28 to 776 of the family's 1533-position model. Lineage: Bacteria; Bacillati; Bacillota; Bacilli; Lactobacillales; Lactobacillaceae. The record is from RNAcentral.